RNAcentral lists this long non-coding RNA (320 nucleotides) under Vitis vinifera (wine grape). RNAcentral's name for it is "long non-coding RNA (VVIN_LNC005483)". Lineage: Eukaryota; Viridiplantae; Streptophyta; Magnoliopsida; Vitales; Vitaceae. The record is from RNAcentral.
CGACUGAGGCCGCGGCUCCUGCUUGAUAUCCCGUAUUGCCUUUUCAAUUAUUUUAUUUAUCUUUCUUCCUUUACAAUGUGUAAGCUUUUUAGGAUGAGCGAUUGCCUCAAAUCAUAAGCACACACCAGGGAAAAAAAAAAGAGAGAGAGAAGAGAGUGUACGCUUCGUACGUAUUUACAUUGAUGUUUUCAAAGAGCGUGAUAUGUGGUGAGGAAUUGUGACACUCUACAGGCCUAUCUUCCAAUUUACUGGACACCCUUUUUGGCAUCAAGGAUGAUAAAAGCUUAAUUUAUAAGCAAAGCUUAAUUUAAAGUAACUCC